UCCAACCUACGGGACGCAGCAGUGAGGAAUAUUGGUCAAUGGUCGGGAGACUGAACCAGCCAAGCCGCGUGAGGGAGGAAGGUACAGAGUAUCGUAAACCUCUUUUGUCAGGGAACAAAGACUGGGACGCGUCCCCGGAUGAGUGUACCUGAAGAAAAAGCAUCGGCUAACUCCGUGCCAGCAGCCGCGGUAAUACGGAGGAUGCGAGCGUUAUCCGGAUUUAUUGGGUUUAAAGGGUGCGCAGGCGGUCUGUUAAGUCAGCGGUCAAAGCCCGGGGCUCAACCCCGGCCCGCCGUUGAAACUGG
Molecule: ribosomal RNA, 305 nt
Filed under: uncultured bacterium
Lineage: Bacteria
Description: bacterial SSU rRNA
Rfam family: Bacterial small subunit ribosomal RNA
Source: RNAcentral